This is a long non-coding RNA of Fukomys damarensis (Damara mole-rat), 654 nucleotides long. RefSeq lists it as uncharacterized. The record is from RefSeq and is a predicted model, not a curated record. Lineage: Eukaryota; Metazoa; Chordata; Mammalia; Rodentia; Bathyergidae. The transcript is spliced from 6 exons.
AUCUGGGCUCUUCCUCAGGUGUAUGUAGCUUGCUAUCAGGACAGAAAUUUAAUACCUAUCCUUGAGAUGUAAAGUGCUUAUUUAUGUGACUCAAAGUGUUGUUUUUAAAGUAAUUAAAAAUUCGAUACAUGCUUUACACUGAGUAUGAGUAGUUCAUCUGGAAGAGGUUACAAUAUUAAAUAACUCUGCCAGAAUAACUGAGUGACAGGGGGCUAACUUCUUUUGAACAGAAUGUGGAUGAAGUGGUAUACACAAUUUAAAGUCUAGAUGGAAGACCGACUACACUUUGAACUCUCGUGUGACAGUAACCCAAUUUAACCAUGGAAAUGAUUUUAAUGCAUGGUGGUGAAGUAUGGAUUUAAAUUCAGUCUUUAGCAAGUGGAUACCCAAUUCUCCCAGGACCAUUUAUUAAAGAACUAUUUUUCAUCCAGCAAAGCUUCCACUGCAAAUUCUGUUUGAUGAACAAGGCAAUGAAUCAAGUUUAACAUGGGAAGAUUUUCAUCAGCAAUGCAAUCUUGGUUAAGAAAAGAUGAUUAUGGAUAUUUUGAGAAGAAAAUGACAACAAGGAAUCUGAAAGUAAGAGCUUAUUAUGGCCUUUCUACCAUGAUUUUGCCGACUUGGAAGCAGCUGACUAGGAACUGAUACUGUGAGACA